AGAGUUUGAUCCUGGCUCAGGACGAACGCUGGCGGCGUGCUUAACACAUGCAAGUCAAGGGGGCCCGCAAGNNNAACCGGCGAACGGGUGCGUAACACGUGAGCAACCUACCGAAAUCUGGGGGAUAGCCGGCCCAACGGCCGGGUAAUACCGCAUACGCUCUUUCCACGGCAUUGUGGAUUGAGGAAACCUCCGGGGGAUUUCGAGGGGCUCGCGGCCUAUCAGCUAGUUGGCGAGGUCACGGCUCACCAAGGCGACGACGGGUAGCUGGUCUGAGAGGAUGGCCAGCCACAUUGGGACUGAGAAACGGCCCAGACUCCUACGGGAGGCAGCAGUGGGGAAUCUUGCGCAAUGGCCGAAAGGCUGACGCAGCGACGCCGCGUGUGGGAGGAAGCCUUUCGGGGUGUAAACCACUGUUGCCCGGGACGAACAGCUCCUUAGUGGAGCCUGACGGUACCGGGUGAGGAAGCACCGGCUAACUCCGUGCCAGCAGCCGCGGUAAUACGGGGGGUGCGAGCGUUGUCCGGAAUCACUGGGCGUAAAGGGCGCGUAGGUGGCUUGGUAAGCGCGUGGUGAAAGCCCGGGGCUCAACCCCGGGUCUGCCAUGCGAACUACUAUGGCUUGAGCACUGUAGAGGCAGGUAGAAUUCCGGGUGUAGCGGUGGAAUGCAGAGAUCCGGAAGAAUACCGGUGGCGAAGGCGGCUGCUGGGCAGUGGCUGACACUGAGGCGCGACAGCGUGGGGAGCAAACAGGAUUAGAUACCCUAGUAGUCC
Molecule: ribosomal RNA, 773 nt
Filed under: uncultured bacterium
Lineage: Bacteria
Description: bacterial SSU rRNA
Rfam family: Bacterial small subunit ribosomal RNA
Source: RNAcentral